GACGAACGCUGGCGGCGUGCUUAACACAUGCAAGUCGAACGGAAAGGCCCAGCUUGCUGGUACUCGAGGGGCGAAAGGGGGAGUAACACGGGGGGUAUUUUCCCCUGACCCCGGGAUAAACCCGGGAAACUGGGGCUUAAACCGGGUAUUGCCUUACCACCCAUGGUGUUUUGUUGAAAGGUUUUGCGGUUCAGGAUGGGCCCGCGGCCUAUCAGCUUGUUGGUGGGGUUAUGGCCUACCAAGGCGACGACGGGUAGCCGACCUGAGAGGGUGAUCGGCCACACUGGGACUGAGACACGGCCCAGACUCCUACGGGAGGCAGCAGUGGGGAAUAUUGCACAAUGGGCGCAAGCCUGAUGCAGCGACGCCGCGUGAGGGAUGACGGCCUUCGGGUUGUAAACCUCUUUCACCAGGGACGAAGCGUGAGUGACGGUACCUGGAGAAGAAGCACCGGCCAACUACGUG
Molecule: ribosomal RNA, 465 nt
Filed under: uncultured bacterium
Lineage: Bacteria
Description: partial 16S ribosomal RNA
Rfam family: Bacterial small subunit ribosomal RNA
Source: RNAcentral